Molecule: non-coding RNA, 653 nt
Organism: Coturnix japonica (Japanese quail)
Lineage: Eukaryota; Metazoa; Chordata; Aves; Galliformes; Phasianidae
Source: RefSeq, a predicted model, not a curated record
CACCUUAGAGGACACCAACAGGGGACCGAUUACAAGACUAGAGGAAAUAAUGCAGCAGACCUAGAAGCUAAGCAAGCUGCCCUCAGGGAAUUGGUCCUGAGGCAGGAGAGGCAGGAAGAAUUGACACAUGAUGAGGCCCCUUCGUUUACUCCGAAGGAGGAACAAAAACUUAAUCAAAUGGGAAUAACAAAAAACGCAGAAGGGAAGUGGCACUUAGCUGAUGGGAGAGAGGUACUGCCUAAGUCAAUAGCAUCUCAGGUGCUGACCCAGUUGCACGAACGGACCCACUGGGGAAGCCAAGCUUUAAUAGAUCAUUUUGCCACUAAGCCAUUUUCUAGAGUCCAAAUUGACUUUACCGAAUUUCCUAAAGUAGGAAGAUAUAAAUAUGUAUUAGUCAUAAUAGACCACCUCACACAUUAUGUAGAGGCAUUCCCCACAACUAAAGCAACAGCUCAGGUAGUAACAAAAAUAUUACUCGAACAAAUCAUCCCUAGGUAUGGGGUAACAGAAGUAAUAGAUUCAGAUCAAGGACCACACUUUACAUCAAGAAUCACUAGAAAUAUAGCUGAAGCCUUGGGAAUAAAAUGGGAAGAACAUACUCCCUGGCACCCACAGAGUUCAGGGCGAGUAGAGAGAAUGAAUGGAGAACUAAA